GACGAACGCUGGCGGCGUGCUUAACACAUGCAAGUCGAACGAUGAAGCCGGAGCUUGCUCUGGUGAAUUAGUGGCGAACGGGUGAGUAACACGUGAGUAACCUGCCCUUGACUCUGGGAUAACUGCUAGAAAUGGUAGCUAAUACCGGAUACGACCCUCGGCGGCAUCGCCAGGGGGUGGAAAGAAUUUCGGUCAAGGAUGGACUCGCGGCCUAUCAGCUAGUUGGUGAGGUAACGGCUCACCAAGGCGACGACGGGUAGCCGGCCUGAGAGGGUGACCGGCCACACUGGGACUGGGACACGGCCCAGACUCCGACGGGAGGCAGCAGUGGGGAAUAUUGCACAAUGGGCGCAAGCCUGAUGCAGCAACGCCGCGUGAGGGAUGACGGCCUUCGGGUUGUAAACCUCUUUUAGUAGGGAAGAAGCGAAAGUGACGGUACCUGCAGAAAAAGCACCGGCUAACUACGUGCCAGCCGCCGCGGUAA
RNAcentral lists this ribosomal RNA (484 nucleotides) under uncultured bacterium. RNAcentral's name for it is "partial 16S ribosomal RNA". It matches the Rfam family "Bacterial small subunit ribosomal RNA", at positions 28 to 523 of the family's 1533-position model. The record is from RNAcentral.